Molecule: long non-coding RNA, 1301 nt
Filed under: Fukomys damarensis (Damara mole-rat)
Lineage: Eukaryota; Metazoa; Chordata; Mammalia; Rodentia; Bathyergidae
Description: lncRNA (ENSFDAG00000032745.1)
Source: RNAcentral
CAAAGUCCUUCUCCAGACCUCCCCUUGUCUUUUCAGCACUGGUGAUGGAACCCAGGGCCUCAUGUUUGCCAGGCGCGCGCUCACCACCGAGCCACAACACGACCUAUCACUCACUGCUUUGGUUUUAGUGUUGGUAGAGAUCAGAUUCUCAACUCUGAGGCAUGGUUGUUAAACUCGACAGGCCUGGGGCACAGAGGAAGGAACAGAAGACACAGGACUCACUGGCCCCAGCGGCCCCAUGGGAAGGUGGAGGACUCGGGCCCUGGGGCCGUAGGCCAGGUCCCUGCUGCAGCAGAGCCCCUGUGAGGCCGGGGACUGAGGCCUCAGAAGGGAGGAGGGAAGGAAGAGGCAGCUGAAGGCAGUAGGGGCAAAUACACUAAUUUCCAAAGUACAAAAUAUACUAUUUUGUCCCUAAAUUAGGACCAAAGGUAUGGUCUGAAGGAAAAAUGCAAAACUCCACCGGGCUGAGAAAGGCGUGCCACUGAGAUGCAGCCUGCCACCGGCCGAGGCUGGGGAGAGGGCCGGGCACAAAGGUCCACCUCGCCCACUGCUCGGCCAUUCAUUGCUCUUAGAGCUACAAGGUCUUUGAGUCAUGGAACUGGACCGAAUUUCCAGUGAUCCCAUUACCAAAACCCAAGUGUGCACCUGCGUGGAGAUGGAGGACUAUGACCUGGCAGGAACGAUUGAUUGGUAAUAGCCCAUUCUGGGGCCCUAGGACUUGCACCUGAAUUCUGGGGAUGAGGGCUUGGAUGGCCUCAACUUUGCCAAAUUCUGCUCGGCUGUCUAUCAAGUCAGCUACAGUUUGUGAGAAUAAUAUGAUACCACAUGCUUGCAGCGUGGUUUCUAUUUUCUACGGGGGGGGGUCCAUAAAAAGAAGAAAGGAGCUGGGCAUGCUGGGGGCACACCUGUCAUCCCAACACUGAGGGAGGCUGAGGCAGGAGGAUCACAAGGUCAAACCCAGCCUGGGCAACUUAGUGACUAAAUGAGGCCCUGACUCAUACUGGAAAUAAAAAGGGCUGGGAAUGUAGCGCAGUGCACAGGCCCUGGGUCCAAUCUCCAGUACCUGUUUAUAUACCUGGAAUAAAAAAUCAGAACUCAAGCACCUGUUCUGUGUCUCAUGUGCUGCGCCAUGGGGGACAAGGUCCCAGGCUCGGAAGGGAACCAGAGUCUGGGCUCAGAGCCCACGGCCCACAGAGAGCCCAACAGGAAUAGAUACACGCAAGGCUGCACAGUGCCCAGGGCACACAGACACCACCACACUCCACUCCUGCACCUGCCGUCCAGACACGAGCGAAAGGGUC